ACGGAAGGCAGCAGUGGGGGCUAUUGCACAAUGGGCGAAAGCCUGAUGCAGCAACGCCGCGUGAGGGAAGAAGGUUUUCGGAUUGUAAACCUCUGUCCUUGGUGAAGAUAAUGACGGUAGCCAAGGAGGAAGCUCCGGCUAACUACGUGCCAGCAGCCGCGGUAAUACGUAGGGAGCGAGCGUUGUCCGGAUUUACUGGGUGUAAAGGGUGCGUAGGCGGCACAGCAAGUCAGGCGUGAAAACUAUGGGCUUAACCCAUAACGUGCGUUUGAAACUGUUGUGUGUGAGUGAAGGAGAGGCAGGCGGAAUGCCCGGUGGAGCGGUGGAAUGCGUAGAGAUCGGGAGGAACACCAGGGGCGAAGGCGGCCUGCUGGGCUUUAACUGACGCUGAGGCACGAAAGUGUGGGGAGCAAACAGGAUUAGAUACCCUGGUA
RNAcentral lists this ribosomal RNA (434 nucleotides) under uncultured Clostridium sp. Its description in RNAcentral is "partial 16S ribosomal RNA". It matches the Rfam family "Bacterial small subunit ribosomal RNA", at positions 341 to 792 of the family's 1533-position model. Lineage: Bacteria; Bacillati; Bacillota; Clostridia; Eubacteriales; Clostridiaceae. The record is from RNAcentral.